Molecule: non-coding RNA, 815 nt
Filed under: Hyperhalosydna striata
Lineage: Eukaryota; Metazoa; Annelida; Polychaeta; Phyllodocida; Polynoidae
Source: RNAcentral
AAAGUUUGAUUCUAGCUUUAAAAUUAGUUCUUUUUAGAUUUUAUACAUGCAUACCCCGCUAAACCCGUGAGUUAAAUCCAUUUAUUAAAAAUCCUAAAUCAAAAAAUAAUGAAAUCUUAUUAUUUUUAAGAAACCUCACGUCUGCAGUAUAUAACCCUCACAUUCCUUUGCGAAAGCAAGAAUGGGUCUAAAAUCAAUAGGCUGACCAAAUCUGUGCCAGCAGUCGCGGUUAUACAGAGAGCCUAAAUUAAUUCACUUAGGAUUGUCUGAUAGAGGAAAAUACAAACUUUUGGGGUUCAAUCCAAUUUAUUUACUAUUCUUUUAUCCUCUCUUUAUUCUCGUAAGUCUAAAUAUAAACAAGGAUUAGAUACCCUUUUAUUCUAGACCUUAAACUCAAACCUGGGCACUACGAACACAUGUUUAAAACCCAAAGAACUUGGCGGUACUCUAACCACCCAGGGGAACCUGUAUCUUAAUUUGAUAAUCCCCACACACCUUACUUUUUCUUGACUAUCAGCUUGUGUACUGCCGUCGUCAGUUUACCUCUAAAGAGUUUCAGUAAACUCACAAGAUUAUGCCAUAUCUUAUACGUCAGGUCUUAGUGCAGCUUAUGAAUAAGUGCUUAUGGGUUACAAUCUUCACUAAGAAAGCGAAUAUUAAUCUUAAAACUUUAUUGAAGAUGGACUUGGCUGUAAGACUAAACAACCAAUUUUCUCUGAAUUAGGAAAUCUAGAGUGUGCACAAAUCGCCCGUCACUCCCCUUGAAAAAGGGGAUAAGUCGUAACAUAGUAGGGGUAAUGGAAAUUGCCCCUAAC